RNAcentral lists this ribosomal RNA (850 nucleotides) under uncultured bacterium. Its description in RNAcentral is "bacterial SSU rRNA". It matches the Rfam family "Bacterial small subunit ribosomal RNA", at positions 8 to 796 of the family's 1533-position model. The record is from RNAcentral.
AGAGUUUGAUCAUGGCUCAGAACGAACGCUGGCGGCGUGCCUAACACAUGCAAGUCGGACGGAGUUAACUGACAGCACUAAGCCUUCAGCUUUAAGCGGGGAGCUUAAGGAAGCUUUUAAUAUUUUAAGCUUAUUGCUGAGAGCUAAGUGCUGUUGGUUAACUUAGUGGCGGACGGGUGAGUAACACGUAGGUAACCUGCCCACGAGAGGGGGACAACCUAGGGGAAACUUGGGCUAAUACCCCAUAAGACCACGUGCUGGGAAGCAUGAGGUAAAAAGGUAGCAAUACGCUCAUGGAUGGGCCUGCGGCCUAUCAGGUAGUUGGUGAGGUAAAGGCUCACCAAGCCAAAGACGGGUAGCCGGGCUGAGAGGUUGAACGGCCACACUGGAACUGAGAUACGGUCCAGACUCCUACGGGAGGCAGCAGUGGGGAAUAUUGCACAAUGGGGGAAACCCUGAUGCAGCGACGCCGCGUGGAGGAUGAAGGCCUUCGGGUUGUAAACUCCUUUUCUUGGGAAAGAUGAUGACGGUACCCAAGGAAUAAGCCACGGCUAACUCUGUGCCAGCAGCCGCGGUAAGACAGAGGUGGCGAGCGUUGUUCGGAAUUACUGGGCUUAAAGGGCGAGUAGGCGGUGGGACAAGUCUGAGGUGGAAUCCUAUGGCUUAACCUAGAACUGCCUUAGAAACUGUUUUACUUGAGUCAGUGAGGGGAGGGCGGAAUUCCCGGUGUAGCGGUGAAAUGCGUAGAUAUCGGGAGGAAGGCCGGUGGCGAAGGCGGCCCUCUGGCACUGUACUGACGCUGAGGCGCGAAAGCGUGGGUAGCAAACAGGAUUAGAUACCCUAGUAGUCC